UCACCUGAAUUCUAGGAACGGUUGGGUCUA
This 30-nucleotide non-coding RNA is filed under the name Rattus norvegicus (Norway rat). The record is from RNAcentral. Lineage: Eukaryota; Metazoa; Chordata; Mammalia; Rodentia; Muridae.